This 64-nucleotide transfer RNA is filed under the name Cavia porcellus (domestic guinea pig). It matches the Rfam family "tRNA". Rfam says of the family: Transfer RNA (tRNA) molecules are approximately 80 nucleotides in length. Their secondary structure includes four short double-helical elements and three loops (D, anti-codon, and T loops). Further hydrogen bonds mediate the characteristic L-shaped molecular structure. tRNAs have two regions of fundamental functional importance: the anti-codon, which is responsible for specific mRNA codon recognition, and the 3' end, to which the tRNAs corresponding amino acid is attached (by aminoacyl-tRNA synthetases). tRNAs cope with the degeneracy of the genetic code in two manners: having more than one tRNA (with a specific anti-codon) for a particular amino acid; and 'wobble' base-pairing, i.e. permitting non-standard base-pairing at the 3rd anti-codon position. Lineage: Eukaryota; Metazoa; Chordata; Mammalia; Rodentia; Caviidae. The record is from Rfam by way of RNAcentral.
GGGGAUUUAACUCAGUGGCAUAAGUACCUGCCCGGCAAGCAGGCGGUCGUGAGUUCAAUCCCCG